Rhincodon typus (whale shark) is the source of this 1053-nucleotide long non-coding RNA. RefSeq lists it as uncharacterized. Lineage: Eukaryota; Metazoa; Chordata; Chondrichthyes; Orectolobiformes; Rhincodontidae. The record is from RefSeq and is a predicted model, not a curated record. The transcript has 2 exons.
UGAUGCUGCUUGGCCUGCUGUGUUCAUCCAGCUCUGCACCUUGUUGUCUCGGAUUCUCCAGCAUCUGCAGUUCCUACUAUCUCUGAUUCGAUAGUGACCUCGAGGGAUUGUUAUCAAACUGCAUGUGAGCGAUCGCUUGGCAAAUGACAUCAGUAAUCCAACUCAAACUCAGACUAAAAUAUUCUUCUUCACACCCAGAACAUGCAACUACAAAUCAAAUUUAAACCUCUGCAUUGUUCUGAGUAUUUCAGAGGCCCAGUGCUGUGAGACAGACUCAGUUCGAAGCUGGAGGUUAUGUAUUAUCGGCUGUCUUACUGAAUACUCACCGUCCUCGUCAAUAUUGAUCUGGAGAAUCUUUGUGCUCAGAGUCGAGAAAUACAAAAUCUUUGCCCCGACAAGAAGCUGCAUCAUAACUGCCAUUGUAAAACAUUAAAUACCAUGAUGAGUUAUUCUGAAGCAGGAUGUAGUUUCAGUAAUACAUCUACGUUAUAUUUAUGGAACGUGAAAAACUGGAUAUUUCUGGAUCGAAGCAGGGCACCAAAAUAACCCGGGCUCCUGGGAACAAACUGGCCACAGACAGACAGUGCUGGUUCUGACUGAUCUGCUGUUCUUGGGUGUAUGUCCAUUCCUAAAGAAGAUAAAAAAACAGCUACUGUCGGUCCCUGUUGAGGUUGGAAUCUGGAGUUAGUAUUGACAGCAGAGUGACUCUGUGAUCUGGUGAGUGUCUCUCCAUUCAGCCCCCAGCUGCUGAAGACCAGAAGAUGGAGGGCUUGGCCAGGUUGCCUGAUAUCAUCAGCCAGACUUUCAGUGGAGUCUGAUAAAUGAUGUUGAAUGGGACUGGUCCCAUUUCCAUUUCCAUUUCCAUUUCGAGCAGACCCCAUGUCAGCUGGUGGAGAGAAGGGGUCAGGCUGUGAAACAAUCCAGCAGAAAACCCAGUUUCUGCAGGCUCAUUCAUAACUGAUGCUGAGUUCAAAUCUCCAUCAGUUUCAUUAUUUCAAUGGCCUUAAACUACAGGGUCAAUAAAGUCUGCUUAAGUCUGCAGUUUUUCAAAUC